RNAcentral lists this ribosomal RNA (200 nucleotides) under uncultured organism. RNAcentral's name for it is "partial small subunit ribosomal RNA". It matches the Rfam family "Bacterial small subunit ribosomal RNA", at positions 1183 to 1382 of the family's 1533-position model. The record is from RNAcentral.
CGUCAAGUCAUCAUGCCCCUUAUGUCCUGGGCUGCACACGUGCUACAAUGGCCGGUACAAUGGGCUGCGAUGGGGUGACCCGGAGCGAAUCCCAUAAAGCCGGCCCCAGUUCGGAUCGAAGGCUGCAACUCGCCUUCGUGAAGUCGGAGUUGCUAGUAAUCGCGGAUCAGCAUGCCGCGGUGAAUACGUUCCCGGGCCUU